Molecule: long non-coding RNA, 407 nt
Organism: Boleophthalmus pectinirostris (great blue-spotted mudskipper)
Lineage: Eukaryota; Metazoa; Chordata; Actinopteri; Gobiiformes; Gobiidae
Exons: 4
Source: RefSeq, a predicted model, not a curated record
AAGUCAGUGCCAUCGCCACCCUUCACGGCGAUUUUAUCAGGCAGACCUGCCGGCCAGGGAGAUGGUGAAAAUACGGAGGCUGAUGCUCAGGGCCCUCACUUGUGGGGAAGAGGAGGAGGAUGAGGAGAACCCGGAAGAACAACCGCCACAGACACAGACGAGUCGAGUGACUCCGAGUCCGAUGAGGAAGAUAAGAGCCUGUGGAUACUCCUGGAAAAGAGGAAGGAGGUGGUCUCCAUCGAGCUACUGAACAAAAUAACUGGGCAGAUGCCAGAAAGAGUGACACCACAAAAAGUCACCACCGAAGACACCACUGUGGAAACCCCGGAGCACCCCAGUGUCCCAGAUCCCCCUCCCCUCUCUGUCCAAGCCCCUGAGCCCUCCAGGAGCCCCUCACUCCCCCUCAC